This 340-nucleotide long non-coding RNA is filed under the name Elaeis guineensis (African oil palm). RNAcentral's name for it is "long non-coding RNA (EGUI_LNC047016)". The record is from RNAcentral. Lineage: Eukaryota; Viridiplantae; Streptophyta; Magnoliopsida; Arecales; Arecaceae.
CCUGGAAGUAUUUGUCUCCUUUUUUAUUUUCUAGGUACAUUAUGCAAUUGAAAUCUGCCACAAAAAUAUAGGCAGACCUACACCUUCAGUGCAAUGGCUGAUUGCUAGAUAGCUCCAUACUGUAGCUUAUUCAUACUAGCAUACACUACAUAAAAUCCAUGAUGAUCCUGAUGCUGGCACGAUGACUCCAUAAACUACUUGAUGGUCUCAAUGGUAAAGUUGAUUUUAUCCAAAUUAUGAAGAUCCAUGCAGGUAUGUGUUUAGUCUCACAUUAGUUAUUCAUCGAAAAGUUCUUAGGUAUGUUUAUAGAAUCAAAAAACUCAAAUAAUACUUUAUGACU